GUUUCAUCUGGUUGCCUCCAAAUUCAGCUUAAAGUCAGGGGCAGCAGUGAACACCUGUAAUCCCAGUGACUAAGACAGGAGGAUCGCAAGCUACUAAACUCUUGGAAACAGGAGUCUGCCCAUCGGUUGGAGUCCCUGGCUAUAAGCACCUUCUGGUGAGCCAUUGUCCCUUUUGGGUUCAUUUUGCCAUCUGCUCCUAGGAUGGGUCAGGAAAGCCUGGUCCCUCCCACCAGCCUUCCCUUUCACAAUGCCCCCCACUUGGCAGGACCAGCCCUGUACUGGGCAGUAUUGUGAGACCUUUUCCUUUCCUUCUUCCUUGCAGCAGCAUGGCCCUUUUGACCCAUCUUCCCACCUCCACCUUCCCUAGGUCCUUCACUUCCAGGUGUGACUCCGGGGCAUGCCCCUAAACCCUGUCUCCAGAGCCAAUCGUCAGCACCAUAAAUUGGUCACAGCCUCAGUGCCUGAACCUGAGGACACAGGUGCAGGACACUCCAAGCUUGCCUUCCAGAAUCUCAGUCCUGCUAGUAAAAAUGGCCUUGCUUGUGACAAAUUUUGUCAAGCACUCUCCUCCGGGCAGAGUGCCAGGUGCUGAGGAUGAAUGGUGAACAAGUCGCCGAGUCCCUGCUCCAUGGAGCCCAAGUUCAAGUGGAGAAGGAAGACAUUCCCCAAAUCAACACAAGGCGUGCCAAGGGAUUGGAAGUUCCAGAAGAUCAAGCAGGUCUCCAUCAGAUGGUUCCAGACUACCUGCCAGGCUCUGUCUUCAGGACGCGGGAUGUAAAUUUGACCCAGACUUGGCCCUGUCUACUCCUAGAGCUCAGAGUCUCCAUCAGUGUGGCUUAGGAUGUGGUCUUUCCUCCUUUUGGUGAGCUCUCGGAUCUUUGGGAAAUCGGGAGUUGUCCAUUAGUCAUUCUUCUAAAAUCUACCCAGCGGGGGUGUAGCUCAGUGGUAGUGGUAGAGCACUUGCCUAGCAGGCACCAAGUCCCUGGACUCCAUCCCCAGCACUGCAAACACCAAAAACAAAUAAACAAACAAAACUACACACACAAAAAAUUAAAAUCUACAAAGCUUUUUUUUAUUUUUCCAGAUACUUUUGAAACCAUCUAUGUUUUCCCUGAGAAGGGAUUGGCUGGGCCCUGGAUUCCUGGGGGAAAGUUUUGCGCAUUCAGGGACACAACACCAGAUUCCAAAAUCACACAGACCAUGAUUCAAAUCUCACUUCUCUUGCUUGCUGAGUCAUCAUGGGCAUGUUACUUACCCUCUCUGUGCUUCAGUUUCUUUCUUUGUAACACCUUUCUCACUGGGUUGUGCAGAUUCAAAGGAGAAUGUUCACAUUGUUGUGAACAUUCUCCUUUGAAUGGUGGUCUGAGUUGAAGGGAGCGGGGUCUGCGGGGUGCUAGCUGUUGCAAGGAAGGGAGGGGAGGAACUAUCUCACUAGGUUGUGCAGAUUCAAAGGAGAAUGUUCAGAAGGAUCAACUUAAUAUCAUUACACAUUAACUUCCCUUCUGCAUCCACUACAGAAAUUCUUGCUUCCCCCCUCCCUGGGGAUCCCAGUCCUGGAAUUAAAAUUGAAGAUCCUUAAAAUUUUUCAUUCUUCAUUCAUGAUAAGAUCUCAAUCAGCAAGAAUGUAUUCUAUACACUCUACUUAAAAGAUUUUGCCAGAGUUUUUUAAAAAGAUGACCUCAGUUCAGGGUUUUGUCUUCACAGCACUUUAAAUGUGUCUAGAAAAGUAAACGCGGAAGGAUUUGUGAUAAAAACCAUGAGGUCACAGGUGUUGCUCAGUGUGGAUCACUCUCCUAAGGUAGUGAGGCCUCCAUCCCCAGGAGCAUUCAAGCGUAGGCAGGGAGAUCACUUAUGGGAAUUUCAGGGGCACCCCUGUUCCUGGCAAGUCAUACCAAUUUUCUGAAGAAGGGGUCGUCAGAUCUGCUCCCGGUCUGAUCAUGUUCCUUGAAUCUGUCCUCUUUGCCAUGUAAGGCAACAAGCUGUACCUGGCAAACAAGACACAUCUCUUGGAGAAGCUGAGAGGAAUAUGGCAAACCUUGGUUCUGGGCUCAUAAGCACCCUGGAUCCAGGAGGCUGGGGUCAUCCCCUCAGCCCCGAUGCUGGCUUUGAGCCAGAUUAAAUCCUAACCCUCGAGUUGAUAAGGGUCGGAGGGCCACCCAGGCAAGAGGACAUGGGGCCAGGGUUAGGGCCUGGUACUGCUUCCUUCCUCAGAUAGACACCUUGAGCCUUAUCCUCAGCCACAUGUGGCUCUGCACCUUGAGCCACAUGUCCCACUGAAUAAAGGGCUCAGGUAUAAGAGAGGAGGCGAGGGUGGAAUUUACAAGCAACAGCGGAGCAGUGUGGAGGUCAGGAGUGGAGCCCAGGACCAGGCUGUCUCGCCUGCAUUUGGACACCACUGUGUUCUGAGUGUGUGACCAUAGCCACCUAACGGACUUCUCCCUGGGUGGUCUCCCAUCUAAGUACUAACCAGGUCCGACCCUGCUUAGCUUCCAAGAUCAGAUGAGAUCAGGCACGUUCAGGUGGUAUGGCUGCAGACAUCAAAUGUUACACGUUUUUAUUUUCUUUAGUGCAUUAUAGUUACAUAUAACAUGGAGGAAUGUGGCUUCUGAGGGUCUCAGUUUCCCUCAUCUGCAAAGCAGGGUGCUCAUGGAUUGGGUCUGGAGAUCAGAGGAGUUAGCACAGGGAAAGCCCUCGGAAUUUACUGGACACACAGAAAGCUCUGCAUAGGUGUCAGCUGUUAGUCUCUGCCCCCAGGAUAGAAGCAGGCAUCAUAGACUUACUUCACCUUGAGGGUGGUGACCAGAGAUCAAAUGUCGCUUCCUAAAAGGGCAGGGGUGACAUGGGGGACAGGAGUGGAUCAAACCCCUUCUGUCUGUGAAGAGCCACUUAUCCUCCCAAACUGUCACCAGAGUUUGGGAAUUCUGGUGCCCCUUAUCCUGAUAAAUAUAUGUGUUAGAUAGGGUGAUUACAAACAUCUAAUUUAAUAGACAUUGAUUAAAAAUCUUCUUAGCCCAAACCAGCCUGAAACACCGGAGAUCCAGAAAUCAGUAAACGGUGUUGUCUCCUCCGGGAACUUGUUCUGGUCAGGGAGAGAAGAGCCAACUGAAGAAAUAAUAACAAGUCUGGCUCUGAGCGGCACCCUUAUCUGCAUUUCACAGAUGCAGAAAGCGGUAAUCACAGAGGGAGCCACAAUCCCAGAGGGUGUAAACGGCUUCCCAAAGAACCUGCUCCUUCUGUCUCCUUGGCCUCCCUGCCCUCCGCCCCUGCCAGCCUCCUAAACGGAAUUGGACCUCCACCUCGAGGUCAUGGGUGGGAAGGCAAACAGGAAUAAAAGCAUAAACACGAAA
Ictidomys tridecemlineatus (thirteen-lined ground squirrel) is the source of this 3347-nucleotide non-coding RNA. The record is from RefSeq and is a predicted model, not a curated record. Lineage: Eukaryota; Metazoa; Chordata; Mammalia; Rodentia; Sciuridae.